UACAGAGGGUGCAAGCGUUGCUCGGAUUUACUGGGCGUAAAGCGUACGCAGACGGUAAGAAAGGUCGGAUGUGAAAGCCCCGGGCUCAACCCGGGAACUGCAUCCGAAACCAUCUUGCUAGAGUAUGAGAGAGGGAAGCGGAAUUCCUGGUGUAGAGGUGAAAUUCGUAGAUAUCAGGAGGAACACCGGCGGCGAAGGCGGCUUCCUGGCUCAUUACUGACGUUCAGGUACGAAAGCGUGGGUAGCAAACAGGAUUAGAUACCCUGGUAGUCCACGCCGUAAACGAUGUGUGCUGGAUGUCGGGGGUAUUCACCCCCUCGGUAUCGAAGCUAACGCGAUAAGCACACCGCCUGGGGAGUACGGCCGCAAGGUUGAA
RNAcentral lists this ribosomal RNA (376 nucleotides) under uncultured bacterium. RNAcentral describes it as "bacterial SSU rRNA". It matches the Rfam family "Bacterial small subunit ribosomal RNA", at positions 524 to 898 of the family's 1533-position model. The record is from RNAcentral.